Molecule: long non-coding RNA, 491 nt
Organism: Xiphophorus couchianus (Monterrey platyfish)
Lineage: Eukaryota; Metazoa; Chordata; Actinopteri; Cyprinodontiformes; Poeciliidae
Exons: 4
Source: RefSeq, a predicted model, not a curated record
CUUUACUGGGGUUGAGAUGUGGGCAGUAGCGGCGAAGCGGAACCUUUAUAUAGGGAUCGUUGCUUCCGGGUUGGUUUUGUGGCGGACUUCCUGUUUACCUCAGGCACAAUCUGAAGGCAGAGUUUCCGUGGUCUUCGCUGAAUCCCGUUUUACUAUUCUUCAGAUUGUGUACAUCACAGUCCUGACACUUGGGACCUGUAACAUGAAGGAACAGCGAGAAGUGGGCAAGCAGGUCAACGAAUGUAGUGAAUAAUGUUCCAACAGCUCUCCCAGGAUGGCAGGGGAUAUCUGAACAAAGUUCAUGCAGCAUGUCACAUGUGACAGACAGAGGUAGACUGAAGAAGUCUGCCUUUCACUAUCAACAUUUUUGCAGAAGGUACAUUUAUUUCUGCAGUUGGACCAUUUAAGAAGGAUGCAUUGCAAGUAAUGGAGAAAAAGUCCUUGUGUUUGCACCUGACAAAUUAAACUUCAAAUAAAAAAUCAGGUAAGAC